CUACGGGAGGCAGCAGUAAGGAAUAUUGCGCAAUGGAGGCAACUCUGACGCAGCCAUGCCGCGUGCAGGAAGAAGGCCUUAUGGGUCGUAAACUGCUUUUAUUUAGGAAUAAACCCCCGAACGUGUUCGGGGCUGAAGGUACUAAACGAAUAAGCACCGGCUAACUCCGUGCCAGCAGCCGCGGUAAUACGGAGGGUGCAAGCGUUAUCUGGAUGUAUUGGGUUUAAAGGGUGCGCAGGCGGGCUAUUAAGUCAGUGGUGAAAUCCCGGGGCUCAACUCCGGAACUGCCAUUGAUACUGAUAGUCUUGAGUUUGGUUGAAGUGGGCGGAAUGUAGCAUGUAGCGGUGAAAUGCAUAGAUAUGCUACAGAACACCAAUCGCGAAGGCAGCUCACUAAGCCAAAACUGACGCUCAUGCACGAAAGCGUGGGGAUCAAACAGGAUUAGAUACCCGUGUAGUC
This 459-nucleotide ribosomal RNA is filed under the name uncultured bacterium. Its description in RNAcentral is "partial 16S ribosomal RNA". It matches the Rfam family "Bacterial small subunit ribosomal RNA", at positions 339 to 795 of the family's 1533-position model. The record is from RNAcentral.